Molecule: ribosomal RNA, 130 nt
Filed under: Bacilli bacterium
Lineage: Bacteria; Bacillati; Bacillota; Bacilli
Description: partial 23S ribosomal RNA
Rfam family: Bacterial large subunit ribosomal RNA
Source: RNAcentral
CAAGAUGAGACUUCCCAUCAUUUUAAAUGAGUAAGAUCCCUCAGAGACGAUGAGGUUAAUAGGUUUGAGGUGGAAGCGUGGCGACACGUGGAGCUGACAAAUACUAAUCGAUCGAGGACUUAACUAACUU